AGUCAAUAAUUAGCAACAUAGUGUUUUGAAAGCACUUAAUAGAGGUUAAAGUCCUCUAUUGACUU
This 65-nucleotide transfer RNA is filed under the name Blaberus sp. B007. Its description in RNAcentral is "tRNA-Ser". Lineage: Eukaryota; Metazoa; Arthropoda; Insecta; Blattodea; Blaberidae. The record is from RNAcentral.